Non-coding RNA from Zonotrichia albicollis (white-throated sparrow), 802 nucleotides. The record is from RefSeq and is a predicted model, not a curated record. NCBI's taxonomy places the organism in Eukaryota, Metazoa, Chordata, Aves, Passeriformes, Passerellidae.
GAAAAAAGGCAGAUGAAAAAGAGAACAUGAUGUGAGCUCUGAAAAGAGGAGAGGCACACGAAAAAUGUGAACUGCUGAAUUUACUGUCUAGCUAUAAUGAGUUUGUGUUUAUGAGGGUGAGACUGAUGGCACCUUGCUGAGGCAAUGCCUGAACAAGAUACCUUUUAUCUGAUGGGAACUUAUUCCAAUUGGGAAAAAAUCCUCUGAAAUAUUCCAUGUCCUUUUGGAGCCACUGUGAACAACUGACCCCUCUCCAGAGGUUUCCUGUGGUCCCUUUGUCCCUGCAAGCUAAGGAGCAACAAUCUAUAUGGAAAUAUGGAGCCAGUUUGGUGAGGAUAUCCCAAGUAUGGAAAUGCCAAGCUGGACAAGGAAUAACCACUGCUCUUGCUGCCACAGCUCUUAUGCUUCCAGCGACAGUAUUUACUUUGUGUUACAUGUUUGUUUCAGAGCAGUGUUUGGACCCUUGGCUGUGAACUCUCACAUCUUUUGCUGCUUGUCUGCUAUAGAAAUAUCUGUUGUCUGUGAGGGUGGCACCUCUGUGAAGCCAGGUCUUCCAAACAAUGGAGUUGAAUAAAAUGAAUUAUUCCAUGAGAUGCACUUGCCUGUAGGAAGUGAUGAGAAGAAGUGUCACCACUGCAUUGAACCAUAUAGAUGUCACACAUGGUUUUUCUUGUAUAAAUGUACCUUUUUAUUUACACACCUGAACAGAUAGAAAUGGCUAUAGCAUGUUCAUGACCAGGUUCCAAAUGUAAUGCAGUAUGAGUGUUGAUUUUAUAAAAAGCAUAAAUAAAGGAAAUUUAUG